RNAcentral lists this transfer RNA (89 nucleotides) under Chitinophagaceae bacterium. RNAcentral describes it as "tRNA-Ser". It matches the Rfam family "tRNA". Rfam says of the family: Transfer RNA (tRNA) molecules are approximately 80 nucleotides in length. Their secondary structure includes four short double-helical elements and three loops (D, anti-codon, and T loops). The record is from RNAcentral. Lineage: Bacteria; Pseudomonadati; Bacteroidota; Chitinophagia; Chitinophagales; Chitinophagaceae.
GGAGAGGUGCCUGAGUGGUCGAAAGGAGCGGUUUGCUAAAUCGUCGUACCGUUUACGCGGUACCGCGGGUUCGAAUCCCGCCCUCUCCG